Molecule: small RNA, 731 nt
Filed under: Pan troglodytes (chimpanzee)
Lineage: Eukaryota; Metazoa; Chordata; Mammalia; Primates; Hominidae
Description: processed transcript
Source: RNAcentral
AAAACCCAACUGAUGUCUGAUGGUACCAGCAGGUUUACCUGCAAGGGAAAAUCAAUAUAUCACUUUGGUAAUACCAGCACCUUCUGUGAAUACACAGUGAUAAAGGAAAUCUCAGUUGCCAAGAUUGAUGCAGUCGCUCCUCUAGAGAAAGUAUGCCUAAUUAGCUGUGGCUUUUCCACUGGGUUUGGUGCUGCAAUCAAUACUGCCAAGGUGACUCCAGGUUCUACCUGUGCUGUGUUUGGCCUGGGAGGAGUCGGCUUGUCUGUUGUCAUGGGUUGUAAAGCAGCAGGAGCAGCCAGGAUCAUUGGAGUGGAUGUCAACAAGGAGAAAUUUAAGAAGGCACAGGAAUUGGGUGCUACUGAGUGCCUCAACCCUCAGGACUUAAAGAAACCCAUUCAAGAAGUUUUAUUUGAUAUGACAGAUGCUGGUAUAGACUUCUGCUUUGAGGCCAUUGGAAAUCUGGACGUUCUGGUAUGUAAUCCUCUGGAGUGAAAAUUACCAAUACUUUUACCAGUCAUCGUUUAGAUUAUAGUUGAAUGAGCUUUCUAAAAUUCCCUCCACUUUGCUCUAUUUAAUUUUCCUUGUGUUCCAUGACAUCUCAGCUGGUGCCGUCUGUGUACUCUUACAAAUUUGUUCACUAUCCCAGAUACUAAAUCUAGAACUUUCAUAUAAUUUCAAAGCCAGAAGUUUUAAGCAAGAUAAGGUUAAAAUUUGAUUAAUGACCUUAUAAA